RNAcentral lists this ribosomal RNA (450 nucleotides) under uncultured bacterium. Its description in RNAcentral is "bacterial SSU rRNA". It matches the Rfam family "Bacterial small subunit ribosomal RNA", at positions 329 to 793 of the family's 1533-position model. The record is from RNAcentral.
UUCCAGACUCCUACGGAAGGCAGCAGUGGGGGAUAUUGGACAAUGGGGGGAACCCUGAUCCAGCGACGCCGCGUGAGUGAAGAAGUAUCUCGGUAUGUAAAGCUCUAUCAGCAGGGAAGAAAGAAAUGACGGUACCUGACCAAGAAGCCACGGCUAACUACGUGCCAGCAGCCGCGGUAAUACGUAGGUGGCAAGCGUUAUCCGGAUUUACUGGGUGUAAAGGGCGUGUAGGCGGGGACGCAAGUCAGAUGUGAAAACCACGGGCUCAACCUGUGACCUGCAUUUGAAACUGUGUUUCUUGAGUACUGGAGAGGCAGACGGAAUUCCUAGUGUAGCGGUGAAAUGCGUAGAUAUUAGGAGGAACACCAGUGGCGAAGGCGGUCUGCUGGACAGUAACUGACGUUGAGGCUCGAAAGCGUGGGGAGCAAACAGGAUUAGAUACCCCCGUAU